CUGUGAAUUUGGACACGUUUUCCCUCAACUCAAACAGGUACUCUGACAGUUUGGAGGUAAAUGCUGAGUUGGAGGAAUUUGGCACAGGGGUGACUCUUAAAGGCACAGGUACCGUCAGUAUCACCAGUCAGAUAAGAACUAUCACCUUUGAAGAUGUAUCUUCAUCAUACAAGCCUGGCAUUCCAUAUGAAGGAAAGAUCAAAGUGGUUGGUCCAGACAACAAACCUAUUUCCAAUCAGGUGGUCUACUUGUUUGUUGAAGACUCU
Nematolebias whitei (Rio pearlfish) is the source of this 266-nucleotide long non-coding RNA. RefSeq lists it as uncharacterized. The transcript has 3 exons. The record is from RefSeq and is a predicted model, not a curated record. NCBI's taxonomy places the organism in Eukaryota, Metazoa, Chordata, Actinopteri, Cyprinodontiformes, Rivulidae.